GACGAACGCUGGCGGCGCGCCUAACACAUGCCAGUCGAACGAGCGAGCGAGAGCUUGCUUUCUCGAGCGAGUGGCGAACGGGUGAGUAACGCGUGAGGAACCUGCCUCAAAGAGGGGGACAACAGUUGGAAACGACUGCUAAUACCGCAUAAGCCCACGACCCGGCAUCGGGUAGAGGGAAAAGGAGCAAUCCGCUUUGAGAUGGCCUCGCGUCCGAUUAGCUAGUUGGUGAGGUAACGGCCCACCAAGGCGACGAUCGGUAGCCGGACUGAGAGGUUGAACGGCCACAUUGGGACUGAGACACGGCCCAGACUCCUACGGGAGGCAGCAGUGGGGAAUAUUGCACAAUGGGGGAAACCCCGAUGAAGCGACGCCGCGUGGAGGAAGAAGGUCUUCGGAUUGUAAACUCCUGUUGUUGAGGAAGAUAAUGACGGUACUCAACAAGGAAGUGACGGCUAACUACGUG
This 466-nucleotide ribosomal RNA is filed under the name uncultured bacterium. RNAcentral's name for it is "partial 16S ribosomal RNA". It matches the Rfam family "Bacterial small subunit ribosomal RNA", at positions 28 to 507 of the family's 1533-position model. The record is from RNAcentral.